Spodoptera frugiperda (fall armyworm) is the source of this 2498-nucleotide long non-coding RNA. RefSeq lists it as uncharacterized. The record is from RefSeq and is a predicted model, not a curated record. Lineage: Eukaryota; Metazoa; Arthropoda; Insecta; Lepidoptera; Noctuidae. The transcript has 2 exons.
AAUAUUGGCCACCAUCUGAAGGGAAGUAACUUUGUUUAAUGUUCAGUUUUAUUUUCUAUUUUUUUAACAUACGACCGUAAUAAAAAAAUACUUUAUAUAUAAAGUGUGAUUUUUUUUUUGCAAUACAAAUUUUGUUAGAAUACUACGAAAAGCAUGUGACUCUUUCCGAGUUAUAUGUACUUAACUAAGAUCAUUAAGACACCACUGACAAAUGGUGAAGGAAAACAUCAUGAGGAAACCUGGGCUUAUUAUUUUCUAAUUACCUAUUAUAAGUUUGAAAUCGACAACCCGCAUUUGGCAAGCGUGGUGAUCAAUGCUCAAACUUUCUCCAGGCCUUUGGUCAGCAGUGGCCACUUAUAGGCUAUUGAUGAUGAUGAUAGAUAGAUAGAUACUACUUCUUUUUCAGUCCAGUUUCAGUUUGCUGCGCCCGAUGUGACUUGAAACUAGUACACCUUUUCUACAUUAGUUCAUCAGAGGACGCUGCUUACUUCAAAUACAUGUAUACUUACUUUAUUAUUCUGUGUACUAACAAACCUAAAACCUUCAAUUAUUAUCUCUUUAAAAUUAUAGUUCAGAAAAGAAAAAAAAUAUAUAUUUACAGUUUUACAAGGAAAGAUGUUUAUUCCUAUAGAAAUCUGAUAAAAUAUUAUAAUGUAUACGAGUAUUAAAAUGUGUUGAACAUUUGAAUUAUAUCGAUAAGUAAGCUUUCGAUAUCGGAACAUCACUAGAGAAAAUACAAGCGAUAAAGUAGCUCGUUAAACAAAUGUCAACCUUAAAAUGAUAGCAAUACAGCGUAAUUGAAUGCAUUUAUGAUAGUGACAUCUAGCGUCGAGUAGCAGAACUUGUUAGUGAAAUUAUGUUGCAUUGAAAAAGAAGAUUCUUUAUUUUAAAAUUAGUAGACAAGAGUCAACUCUAUUAAUAUGUAAUUAAUGUGUUUUUUUCAAAGUGGUGACGGCUGAUUUAAAGGCUAUUUAACACGGACCAGUCACAGAAAGUUUUUGCUAUUAUGACAUAUUAUGAUUAUCCUGGAGAUGUGUUAAUUUGGGCGUGGCUUCAGAAAAAUUGCCACGCUGGUUCUGAUACUAACACAUGCGGUAUACUAUUUCUAUCUCUUCUUCUCUAUUCUGUGGGUAUAACCAUGGAUAAAAGAAAGAGACUGGAUUGGCCUUGUGGGCGGGCCACGCGUGCCGAGGGUGCGAGCCGGCGUACUGCGCGCUGUCAUAACGCUCAAAUGUCCAUACUUACCGGCUAGCAAUCGCUGUCAUGUUUUGACAGCGUACGUAUCUCCGCAAAAAUAUUAUAUUAUGCCGUCUUGCGCUAUUAUAACGUGUCGGAAAAGAAACCAGGUGUGUAGCAUAGCACGAGAAGGAAUUUCUUUUCACCGGUUUCCAACAGAUCCAGGUGUAACAAAAUUGUGGAUUGACACAACUGGUAGAAUUAAUUUUUUUUUUCAAAUUCCACCACACAGAUUAGAAACUGCGUAUAUUUUUAUCUCCACCAUAUUUAUACAGACAUUGGUCUUAAAAACUAAGCUUAUAUAAUAAUUAAUAGUAUAAUAAAUUAUGUAGCAAGUUACACGACCAGGUUUAAAACAAUUGAAAUGACAAGUGGUGGGAUUCAGGAACCCAAACUAGGAAAACCUGUACUAUGGGCUCCUGGAUUCCUACUAAAUGUAGCAUAUUUCGUUCGCAACAUUUCGAUGUUGAUAAUUACAUAAUAACAAAGUCAGGGAAAAGAAACUUAAAAUUAGGCGUUUAUCCGCACAAUAUCGCAAUGUGUAAUUCAGUAAGUAAACUGAUUUUAUUUUAGAAAAUUUUAAAUUAGUCUCUUUAAAUCAGUUUUUUUGUCUAAAAAUGGCGAUAUUUAAAAUAUCAUAUUUCGUAAAUUUAAAAAAUGAAAUAAUAUAACCAUGUUAUUUCAAUGUGUUCUGUACUUUAUACAGAUUAUUGUAAAUGUGAGAGCCCUGUAAUUAGCUAAAUUAGACUAGUAGAAUGCAUUUGUGUCAGCUUAGAGUUGUCAUGCUCACUCAAAGGUCUCACUGGCGGUGGCACGGGCAUUGGAUCGUUCGAUUCCCUGCAACAUGGUUGAGUUGGACGGUGCUGGUGUACGUGCCAUGUUGGUGAACCAGCGCUGUCAACUGGGACUGGUCAGCUCCAGACUGUAUUAAUUUUGUUGUUCUUAAGGUUUUUUUCUAUCGCUUUGACUGAAUAUUAGUUUUACAUUGUUCUCACAUAGUUCAAGCAAUCGAUGCAAAGAAAAGCAAUGUUAUCAAGAAUUGUAUUGUGAAUCUAAUUGAAAAAGAUCGAACGAACAGAUCUUCGAUCUUCUCCAUAGGAAUCUACACUUUGGAACGAGCAAAUAGCUUCACUAGAGGGCUGACCGACAGACAGACGUUAUUAAUAUUAUUAUAUUUACUUUGACGUUCAAAAGUGCCUAUGAUUUAUUUAUUUUUUACUGAUUUUUAACUUAUUGAGUAAUAAAAUUGGUUUUAAAAUUCA